RNAcentral lists this ribosomal RNA (269 nucleotides) under uncultured bacterium. RNAcentral describes it as "partial 16S ribosomal RNA". It matches the Rfam family "Bacterial small subunit ribosomal RNA", at positions 524 to 776 of the family's 1533-position model. The record is from RNAcentral.
UACGGAGGGUGCGAGCGUUGUCCGGAAUCAUUGGGCGUAAAGGGCGCGUAGGUGGCCCGGUCAGUUCGUGGUGAAAGCCCGGGGCUCAACCCCGGGUCGGCCGUGCGGACUGGCGUGCUCGAGCACUGUAGGGGCGGGUGGAAUUCCGGGUGUAGCGGUGGAAUGCGUAGAGAUCCGGAAGAACACCGGUGGCGAAGGCGGCCCGCUGGGCAGGAAGGCUCGCAAGAGCCGGCUGACGCUGAGGCGCGACAGCGUGGGGAGCAAACAGG